AACGAACGCUGGCGGCAUGCCUAACACAUGCAAGUCGAACGAGACCUUCGGGUCUAGUGGCGCACGGGUGCGUAACGCGUGGGAACCUGCCCUUAGGUUCGGAAUAACUCCCCGAAAGGGGUGCUAAUACCGGAUAAUUUCUUCGGACCAAAGAUUUAUCGCCUUUGGAUGGGCCCGCGUUGGAUUAGCUAGUUGGUAGGGUAAAAGCCUACCACGGCGACGAUCCAUAGCUGGUCUGAGAGGAUGAUCAGCCACACUGGGACUGAGACACGGCCCAGACUCCUACGGGAGGCAGCAGUGGGGAAUAUUGGACAAUGGGCGAAAGCCUGAUCCAGCAAUGCCGCGUGAGUGAUGAAGGCCUUAGGGUUGUAAAGCUCUUUUACCCGGGAUGAUAAUGACAGUACCGGGAGAAUAAGCUCCGGCUAACUCCGUG
Molecule: ribosomal RNA, 433 nt
Filed under: uncultured bacterium
Lineage: Bacteria
Description: partial 16S ribosomal RNA
Rfam family: Bacterial small subunit ribosomal RNA
Source: RNAcentral